RNAcentral lists this ribosomal RNA (253 nucleotides) under uncultured bacterium. Its description in RNAcentral is "partial 16S ribosomal RNA". It matches the Rfam family "Bacterial small subunit ribosomal RNA", at positions 524 to 776 of the family's 1533-position model. The record is from RNAcentral. RNAcentral also lists the same sequence under 2 other names.
UACGUAGGGUGCGAGCGUUGUCCGGAAUUAUUGGGCGUAAAGAGCUUGUAGGCGGUUUGUCGCGUCUGCUGUGAAAUCUCAAGGCUCAACCUUGAGCUUGCAGUGGGUACGGGCAGACUAGAGUGUGGUAGGGGAGACUGGAAUUCCUGGUGUAGCGGUGAAAUGCGCAGAUAUCAGGAGGAACACCGAUGGCGAAGGCAGGUCUCUGGGCCACUACUGACGCUGAGAAGCGAAAGCAUGGGGAGCGAACAGG